RNAcentral lists this ribosomal RNA (301 nucleotides) under uncultured bacterium. Its description in RNAcentral is "partial 16S ribosomal RNA". It matches the Rfam family "Bacterial small subunit ribosomal RNA", at positions 509 to 807 of the family's 1533-position model. The record is from RNAcentral.
CAGCCGCCGCGGGAAUACAGAGGGUGCGAGCGUUAAUCGGAUUUACUGGGCGUAAAGCGUGCGUAGGCGGCUUCUUAAGUCGGAUGUGAAAUCCCUGAGCUUAACUUAGGAAUUGCAUUCGAUACUGGGAAGCUAGAGUAUGGGAGAGGAUGGUAGAAUUCCAGGUGUAGCGGUGAAAUUCGUAGAGAUCUGGAGGAAUACCGAUGGCGAAGGCAGCCAUCUGGCCUAAUACUGACGCUGAGGUACGAAAGCAUGGGGAGCAAACAGGAUUAGAUACCCCGGUAGUCCCUGUCUCUUAUAC